ACCUCGGAUCAGGUAGGAAUACCCGCUGAACUUAAGCAUAUCAAUAAGCGGAGGAAAAGAAACCAACAGGGAUUGCCCCAGUAACGGCGAGUGAAGCGGCAACAGCUCAAAUUUGAAAUCUGGCCCCAGGCCCGAGUUGUAAUUUGCAGAGGAUGCUUCUGGCGACGUGCCUUCCGAGUUCCCUGGAACGGGACGCCAUAGAGGGUGAGAGCCCCGUACGGUCGCGCACCUAGCCUCUGUGAAGCUCCUUCGACGAGUCNAGUAGUUUGGGAAUGCUGCUCUAAGCGGGAG
RNAcentral lists this ribosomal RNA (291 nucleotides) under Hypocreales sp. O_1_LILB_26_5k. RNAcentral describes it as "partial 28S ribosomal RNA". It matches the Rfam family "Eukaryotic large subunit ribosomal RNA", at positions 1 to 298 of the family's 3401-position model. The record is from RNAcentral. Lineage: Eukaryota; Fungi; Ascomycota; Sordariomycetes; Hypocreales.